UGGGGAAUUUUGGACAAUGGGCGCAAGCCUGAUCCAGCCAUGCCGCGUGCAGGAUGAAGGCCUUCGGGUUGUAAACUGCUUUUGUACGGAACGAAAAGACUCCUUCUAAUAAAGGGGGUCCAUGACGGUACCGUAAGAAUAAGCACCGGCUAACUACGUGCCAGCAGCCGCGGUAAUACGUAGGGUGCGAGCGUUAAUCGGAAUUACUGGGCGUAAAGCGUGCGCAGGCGGUGAUGUAAGACAGAUGUGAAAUCCCCGGGCUCAACCUGGGAACUGCAUUUGU
RNAcentral lists this ribosomal RNA (283 nucleotides) under uncultured Acidovorax sp. RNAcentral's name for it is "partial 16S ribosomal RNA". It matches the Rfam family "Bacterial small subunit ribosomal RNA", at positions 355 to 630 of the family's 1533-position model. Lineage: Bacteria; Pseudomonadati; Pseudomonadota; Betaproteobacteria; Burkholderiales; Comamonadaceae. The record is from RNAcentral.